RNAcentral lists this ribosomal RNA (328 nucleotides) under uncultured eukaryote. RNAcentral describes it as "partial 18S ribosomal RNA". It matches the Rfam family "Eukaryotic small subunit ribosomal RNA", at positions 1470 to 1796 of the family's 1831-position model. The record is from RNAcentral.
CCCUUAGAUGUCCUGGGCCGCACGCGCGUUACACUGAUGCAUUCAACGAGCUUAUAACCUUGGCCGAGAGGCCUGGGCAAUCUUGUUAACGUGCAUCGUGAUAGGGAUAGAUUAUUGAAAUUAUUAAUCUUGAACGAGGAAUUCCUAGUAAACGCAGAUCAUCAAUCUGCAUUGAUUACGUCCCUGCCCUUUGUACACACCGCCCGUCGCACCUACCGAUUGGAUGGUCCGGUGAAGCCUCGGGAUUGUGGUUCUUGCCGCUUUAUUGUGGCGUGACCGCGAGAACUUGUCUAAACCUUAUCAUCUAGAGGAAGGUGACGUCGUAACA